This 995-nucleotide small RNA is filed under the name Variovorax dokdonensis. RNAcentral's name for it is "bacterial SSU rRNA". The stretch from base 1 to 385 matches the Rfam family "Bacterial small subunit ribosomal RNA", at positions 1149 to 1533 of the family's 1533-position model. Lineage: Bacteria; Pseudomonadati; Pseudomonadota; Betaproteobacteria; Burkholderiales; Comamonadaceae. The record is from RNAcentral.
CUGCCGGUGACAAACCGGAGGAAGGUGGGGAUGACGUCAAGUCCUCAUGGCCCUUAUAGGUGGGGCUACACACGUCAUACAAUGGCUGGUACAAAGGGUUGCCAACCCGCGAGGGGGAGCUAAUCCCAUAAAACCAGUCGUAGUCCGGAUCGCAGUCUGCAACUCGACUGCGUGAAGUCGGAAUCGCUAGUAAUCGUGGAUCAGAAUGUCACGGUGAAUACGUUCCCGGGUCUUGUACACACCGCCCGUCACACCAUGGGAGCGGGUUCUGCCAGAAGUAGUUAGCCUAACCGCAAGGAGGGCGAUUACCACGGCAGGGUUCGUGACUGGGGUGAAGUCGUAACAAGGUAGCCGUAUCGGAAGGUGCGGCUGGAUCACCUCCUUUCUGGAAACAAGCAAUUUAAUUUAAACGCCCACACUUAUCGGUUGUUGGAAGAAGUCGAAAUCGUCAUUGAUUCUCGAUUGGGUCUGUAGCUCAGCUGGUUAGAGCACCGUCUUGAUAAGGCGGGGGUCGUUGGUUCGAGCCCAACUAGACCCACCAAAUCUUCUGAUUUCUCGUGUGAGAGUUUUGGGGGAUUAGCUCAGCUGGGAGAGCACCUGCUUUGCAAGCAGGGGGUCGUCGGUUCGAUCCCGUCAUCCUCCACCAAUAAAUCGAUACUUAAAAUUCAACACCAAAGCGGCUUCCUGCAAUGCAUGAGGCUUCUUUGUUGUUGAUCGAGAUCUCUUGAUCAAUCGGCUGUUCUUUAAAAAUNCAUAGAGUCGAAUCAGCGUUGCUGAUGGAAACUGCACAUUCGUAAAGGUUUAGUGCAGACCGUGCCAUCAGCAACAUAAAUUUUUGAUUGCGUCAAAANAAACUUCANUUNCNAGUCAAUCGAAUUUUGAAUGUANCGGCAUACCGCGUCAGGGGAAANACCUGANAAUUCCUGGGANGANUUUUGNANUUCNCAAAAANCGUCAANUUNAAGGGCANGGGAANAAAAACNCGNGGGGAUGCC